RNAcentral lists this long non-coding RNA (1676 nucleotides) under Sus scrofa (pig). RNAcentral describes it as "lncRNA (ENSSSCG00065070720.1)". The record is from RNAcentral. Lineage: Eukaryota; Metazoa; Chordata; Mammalia; Artiodactyla; Suidae.
CACAAAUAUUCCUAUUGGCUUCAUAAAGCAAUGAGUUAAGGAUCCUUCCAGAUAUUGUUAAAGUGAUACAUCAGAGACUGGGUGGUCUCCUUAAGGCCAUCAGUUACAAUUUUGGUAGAUGCAGUGGGAUGAUCCAUGAAAUCAGUUUCUCUUCCAGACACUUUCUUGGUCAGUUUUAUUUCACUUUGAUUAUGCUCCCAUUAGGGUUUUUUUUUUUUUUUUUUUUUUUUUUUUCCAGGUGAGACCCUACAUAUUUUUUUUUUCUUGGUCCUUUUAGGGCCAGGCCCACAGCAUAUGAAAGUUCCCAGGUUAGGGGUCGAAUUGGAGUUACAGCUGCUGGCCUACACCACAGCCACAGCAACAUGGCAUCCAAGCCUCAUCUCCAUCUACACCACAGCUCACAGCGGCAAUGCCAGAUCCCCAACCCACUGAGGAAGGCCAGGGAUUGAACCUGCAUCCUCAUGGAUAAGAGUCAGAUCCGUUUCUGCUGUGCCGCAAUGGGAACUCCGAGACCCUGCAUAAUUUAUUAUUCACUCGAUUUGGAUUUUUUUAAGGUGUUAAAAAGAAAAACCCUAGGUGAAUAUUACAGAUCAUAUCACUGAUGCCCAAGAUAAAUCUGAGACUCUGAUUCUUUCCUUUUUUUUUUUUCCCUUUUUUUUUUCCUUUUUGGCCACCCAGAGCCAUAACUGAUUAUUUAUCUAAUCGCAAACAUUAUCAAUCUAUGCAGUAGCAGAUCAACUGUCAAUCUUGAUCACCCACACACACCUGGAAGCGGUACCAGAAGUAAGAGAGUGUCGGGUAUGAGAAUGAAAAUUUAUCUUUUAGAAUUGCUCUUAACAGAAGGGAGAAAAUCUUCAGAAGUCAUCUUCAUAGAUUUUAUUCCUAAAUAUAGAUGCUUUUAAAUUGUUUGAAGAAACCCCUUCAGAAUAUUUGGAGAAGAAUCAACAGGACAGUGAGUCAGACUCCUUCAGCUGUUUCUACUUCUAAAACUCCUAAUUUUGCAAAGUACAUUGGCUGUUUUGGGCUAUUGCUGCAGUGACCUAGUCUGAAUGCUACGCUGGCCAGCUUGCUCCAAGAAUUAAUGGACUUCAAGCCUGGAUAAUGUGUCCCAGAGAAGGUAAAGGAGAAAAAGCACCUUGCUAUACUCGCUUUGCACUUAUUAUUCCACUCCCAUGAAGAUUCCAGGAAGCCACUGGAGCUUCUCUUAUUCUUGACAGUGAAAGUGAGUUGGGAAUGUGGAAGGAUUAACAAGUCCUAGAGACUGAACCUCAGCACCUCUGAAUCCAGUAAAAUCGUUAGCCUUCCCCAUUCCCUGAAGACUGUCUCUAAGUGAUUUUGCCAAAACAAGUCUCUCUACCAGUAGGAGAUUGUCAAGGCUCCAAUUAGUAAAUCCCUAAGCCCCAAAGUCAAUUAUGUGGGUAUGAAAAGUGCUGGAAAACUCUCAUUCCUGGGAAAAGAAAGAAUCAGAUAGGCCAUUAGCCCCACUGGGUGCAUAGAAGGAUUAGAAUCCACCACAAAAAGCAAUGUUCAUGCUUCUACUGAAAUGGAAUAAAGAUGACUGGAUGACUAUACUGUUAGAUCCGUUUCAGUAACUUUCUGAAAGCGACACAAGCCAGCAAAGUACGCUGGAUGUUUAUUCCUCUCUAAAUGGUUCCUCCACUCCUAUGCACUGUAAG